GAUGAACGCUGGCGGCGUGCUUAACACAUGCAAGUCGAACGAAGCAUUUGCGACAGAUUUUUUCGGAAUGAAGUUGCUUAUGACUGAGUGGCGGACGGGUGAGUAACGCGUGGGUAACCUGCCUUGUACUGGGGGAUAGCAGCUGGAAACGGCUGGUAAUACCGCAUAAGCGCACAAUGUUGCAUGACAUGGUGUGAAAAACUCCGGUGGUAUAAGAUGGACCCGCGUCUGAUUAGCUAGUUGGUGAGAUAACAGCCCACCAAGGCGACGAUCAGUAGCCGACCUGAGAGGGUGACCGGCCACAUUGGGACUGAGACACGGCCCAGACUCCUACGGGAGGCAGCAGUGGGGAAUAUUGCACAAUGGAGGAAACUCUGAUGCAGCGACGCCGCGUGAGUGAAGAAGUAAUUCGUGAUGUAAAGCUCUAUCAGCAGGGAAGAUAGUGACGGUACCUGACGAAGAAGCUCCGGCUAAAUACGUG
RNAcentral lists this ribosomal RNA (481 nucleotides) under uncultured bacterium. RNAcentral describes it as "partial 16S ribosomal RNA". It matches the Rfam family "Bacterial small subunit ribosomal RNA", at positions 28 to 507 of the family's 1533-position model. The record is from RNAcentral.